RNAcentral lists this long non-coding RNA (637 nucleotides) under Parus major (Great Tit). RNAcentral describes it as "lncRNA (ENSPMJG00000002737.1)". Lineage: Eukaryota; Metazoa; Chordata; Aves; Passeriformes; Paridae. The record is from RNAcentral.
UGUUAAACCUGCCUGAGGGAAAUACCUACGAUUCCCCUAGAAAGUUUCCUGCACGGCCUUCCUUGGAAGUUUGCUCUCCUGCCUGAAGUGAGCUUCAGCCUCUUUGGGCACAGAGAGCUCUCAUUUAUGUGCCUCAAAUGUUCCUGGGUAGGGUAUCAUUUAAAAAUUUCCAGUGGAUGCAUCUUAACUCAGCUCUGCAGCCUUCACUGUGCUGUUCCAUAAGGCUUCUCACCAUCUGAAGUGCAAAAUUCACCACCAGGAACUGGCCUUGGGUAAAUACCUUUAUCGGUGAUUGUGGCUGAUUACAAGUGUGAUUAUUGUCAUGCCAUGGGAGAAUACAGGGCAAGGACAGAACACUUCAGAAAGUGUUCUGUAAAUUAGAAAUUAAUCUGUAAACCACAGAUUAAUUUCUAAUAAGCAGAUGGUCUCUGUGUGUUCCCAUUCAUGAGCUAUAAACAGAUUGUAAUACCUUUUUAAAAUUAUUUUUUCCCAAGAGAUCUAGUUUAACUCUUGUCAAAGAGCCUGAGCAGUGUCUUCUUGGAGGAAAAAAUUCUACAGCAGAUUCUUCUUUUCCCAGUUGAUAGAAGUCAGUGACCACUAAGAGUGAUUCAAGCUUGAAAACUUAAAUAAAACUGUG